UCCUUGGUGGCUCAGACGGUAAAGCGCCUGCCUACAAUGCAGGAGAUCUCCUGGAGACCCAGGUUCGAUCCCUGGGUCGGGAA
Transfer RNA from Ovis aries (sheep), 83 nucleotides. It matches the Rfam family "tRNA". From Rfam's summary of the family: Transfer RNA (tRNA) molecules are approximately 80 nucleotides in length. Their secondary structure includes four short double-helical elements and three loops (D, anti-codon, and T loops). Further hydrogen bonds mediate the characteristic L-shaped molecular structure. tRNAs have two regions of fundamental functional importance: the anti-codon, which is responsible for specific mRNA codon recognition, and the 3' end, to which the tRNAs corresponding amino acid is attached (by aminoacyl-tRNA synthetases). tRNAs cope with the degeneracy of the genetic code in two manners: having more than one tRNA (with a specific anti-codon) for a particular amino acid; and 'wobble' base-pairing, i.e. permitting non-standard base-pairing at the 3rd anti-codon position. The record is from Rfam. NCBI's taxonomy places the organism in Eukaryota, Metazoa, Chordata, Mammalia, Artiodactyla, Bovidae.